UCCCCACCCCCACCCCCGCCACACACACACACACACACACAUACAGGGCACAAGGGGCUGGAAGGCAGGGCAGAGUCCAGGUUCUCUUUGGCCAUUUUUCUAUAGCCCAGAAGCUUUUCUGGGAUCCCCACCCCCAGUUUAGGGCUUGUGUCUUUGACCUCAGUGAGAUGAUCUGUGGCUGUCUGGGGCCAGGCUGAGAAACAGUGCCAGGAAUGCCAGCACUGGGUUUAAAGUAUUUAAAUCUUUUUUAACCCUUUCUUCUCAUGUUCUGCUAUCCUUGCACACCAAAGGCAGUGACUUUUGGCACCUUCAAGUUAGUUCCUGAUGAUUCAAAUUCCUUAUCACGCAACUGCAUAAAUGCCUGAACAUACAGAAUCUCUUUCAUAUGUUUUACCCCUCACAGACCAACUCCAACUACAAGAUUGUAUAAUAAUCCAGAAAGCUAUUCAAAAGCCAGAUUAUUACAGUAAAACAUUAUGUUAGACAGGCUUAUACCUAUAUUGGUGGUCUUUUCUUCAACUCAUUUCACCUUUGGCAGACCAACUGCAAUUGCAAGACUGUACAAAAAAGAAGCACUCAGAGACAAGCAGAGAGGAGCCCCGAAACCAUGGCCAAAACUAACAACCAAAGGGAAUUCCUAAGUCUAAGGCCAAUGAACAGAUGGAACCUAGAACAAAUCAAAAGGGAGUUCAUAUCCUUAGGCUCUUUUUAGGGAAGGGGGAGGGUAUCAGGGAUUGAACUCAGGGCACUCAACCACUGAGCCAGAUCCCCAGCCCUAUUUUGUAUUUUAUUUAGAGACAGG
Molecule: long non-coding RNA, 802 nt
Filed under: Marmota monax (woodchuck)
Lineage: Eukaryota; Metazoa; Chordata; Mammalia; Rodentia; Sciuridae
Source: RNAcentral